This 664-nucleotide ribosomal RNA is filed under the name Bacillus subtilis. Its description in RNAcentral is "bacterial SSU rRNA". It matches the Rfam family "Bacterial small subunit ribosomal RNA", at positions 112 to 759 of the family's 1533-position model. Lineage: Bacteria; Bacillati; Bacillota; Bacilli; Caryophanales; Bacillaceae. The record is from RNAcentral.
AACACGUGGGUAACCCUGCCUGUAAGACUGGGAUAAUCCGGGAAACCGGGGUUAAUACCGGAUGGUUGUUUGAACCGCAUGGUUCAAACAUAAAAGGUGGCUUCGGCUACCACUUACAGAUGGACCCGCGGCGCAUUAGCUAGUUGGUGAGGUAACGGCUCACCAAGGCAACGAUGCGUAGCCGACCUGAGAGGGUGAUCGGCCACACUGGGACUGAGACACGGCCCAGACUCCUACGGGAGGCAGCAGUAGGGAAUCUUCCGCAAUGGACGAAAGUCUGACGGAGCAACGCCGCGUGAGUGAUGAAGGUUUUCGGAUCGUAAAGCUCUGUUGUUAGGGAAGAACAGAGUACCGUUCGAAUAGGGCGGUACCUUGACGGUACCUAACCAGAAAGCCACGGCUAACUACGUGCCAGCAGCCGCGGUAAUACGUAGGUGGCAAGCGUUGUCCGGAAUUAUUGGGCGUAAAGGGCUCGCAGGCGGUUUCUUAAGUCUGAUGUGAAAGCCCCCGGCUCAACCGGGGAGGGUCAUUGGAAACUGGGGAACUUGAGUGCAGAAGAGGAGAGUGGAAUUCCACGUGUAGCGGUGAAAUGCGUAGAGAUGUGGAGGAACACCAGUGGCGAAGGCGACUCUCUGGUCUAGUAACUGACGCUGAGGAGCGAAAG